RNAcentral lists this small RNA (168 nucleotides) under Sphenodon punctatus (tuatara). RNAcentral describes it as "TUC338 (ENSSPUG00000010697.1)". The record is from RNAcentral. Lineage: Eukaryota; Metazoa; Chordata; Lepidosauria; Sphenodontia; Sphenodontidae.
UUGAUUGCCCUGGAAGCUGGAGUCUUCAAUUCAUCCACAGAACAAGUACAGCACAGACAAAGGCAGAAAAACCUGCCCUAUGUUACACCAUGGAUAAGACUAACACUGUUCUGAGGGGAUCAACUUCAAGGUUGUUCAGAUUCUCUACCAAUUAAAUUUUUCACUUUU